UACGAAGGUGGCAAGCGUUGUUCGGAUUUACUGGGCGUAAAGGGAGCGUAGGUGGUUAGGUAAGCCCUCCGGGAAAUCUUCAGGCUUAACCUGAAAAGGUCGGGGGGGACUGCCUAGCUAGAGGGCGGGAGAGGAGCGCGGAAUUCCCGGUGUAGCGGUGAAAUGCGUAGAUAUCAAGUGGAACACCAGUGGCGAAGGCGAGUCCCUGGGCUAACACUGACGCUCAGGCACGAAAGCGUGGGGAGCAAACAGG
Molecule: ribosomal RNA, 253 nt
Filed under: uncultured bacterium
Lineage: Bacteria
Description: partial 16S ribosomal RNA
Rfam family: Bacterial small subunit ribosomal RNA
Source: RNAcentral